GAAAAAUAUCUCCUUCCCGGGAGAUAAUAUUUAAUUCUUCACCAUUUCCUCCUCCACCAGCAAAAGGCAUCUCCUUCUCGAUCUUCCUUUUCAAUUCUGAUUUGCUGAAAUUGGGGAUAUGGAGAGUGAAGCAGUGAGACGCAGAGUCCACAUGAUCGCUGCCCACUUUGCAUCAAAGGAUGAUCUCUCGCCAACCCAUCUUCUUCCUAUGAACUGCAGUGGGGCUUUGAACUCUGUGCUCCGAAGAUGUGAUAGUAAAAUAUAUUUUGCACGCCAAGCGUCUGCAUCCCUUGGUCCUUUUAUGAGGCAGGCUUCUCUUGCAUCGAAGGAUGAUAUCUCACAAACCGAUCUUCUCCCUAAGAACUGCUGUGAUAGUUUGAACUCUGUGCUUCGAAGAUGUGAUAACAAAAUUUAUUUUGCACGCCAAGCUUCUGCAUCUCUUGGUCCUUUUAUGAGGCAGAGUUCCCUUGAAGAGGGUCGCUUGACUUCCUCUGUCGCUCCCAAAUCCUGUGAUGUUGCAUCUGAGACUCCUUGUAAUGUAAGGGAACCUUGUUUUGCUAGACUUGCAAGGACAGAGUCAAAUUUCCAGAGUAGCUUGACUUCCUCUGUGGCUACCAAAUCCUGUGGUGUUGCAUCUGAGACUCCUUAUAAUGUAAGAGAACCUUGUUUUGCCAGACCUAUGGGGACCGAAUCAAACUUCUCAAAUGUUUCAAUGGGCCAGCCCCUGGUCCAGAGCUAUGAUGUUAUAGCACCGGACCCUCCUAGUUUCGCAAGACGAGGCAGACUGGCAGCAAAAAAUGAUCAGUUACAUUCUGAGAAGAAAAUGUGCCGUUCUGAAGUCAGCGGUGUAGAGUGGUCCCCAAGGAUGGAUAUUGCAGAAUCAGAAGGAAAAUAUGUUAUGACAGUGGAAGUUCCAGGUGUCAGUAUCAAGGACAUAAGAGUAGAGGUUGAUGAUCAAAAGUUGUCUGUCAAAGGUAAACGUUCCUCUAGCUUUUGGAGAGUCACUGGUAAUCCGAAUGGUUCAUUUUCUUCAUAUCACAGAAGAGAGAUAUUAUAUGGACCAUAUGAGGUUGUUUGGCCACUUCCUGCUAGUGUGAACAAGGACAGAGUAUCCGCUGAGUUUCUUCACUGGACUCUUGGCUGAUUAUAUUAAUUACUGACAAAGUUCAGAAUUAACAUUCUCAUUGUGGAUUAGUACUGUUAGGCCUGAGUUGUCAAUAUACAGUGGGAAGACUUGUGAAUCUAACAACUAUGGAUGGAUUUUUACAGAUUAUUAUUCCUAAGCUUUGAAGGUGAUGGAGCUGGUACCUAUCAUACUUGGAAUAUUCAUAUCUACAUAUAUCUUUUUCCUUGUAGCAUAUGAUAACUUCAUGCAUCUUCCUAUCAACCAUGUUCAUGGAGAAAAAAAGUGAGUGAUUGUGGCUGUGAGCCGAGAAUCUAUGUCUUCUCUCUUUUGUACGCUGCUCUAAAGAUAGAUGUUAUUACUGUGAAUCAGCCAUGUCCUCCUUUCCUUUUACGUAUACAAAGACAAUAACUCUGUGUGUGUGGAUGUGCUAGAGUAGAAUGGUAUAUAUUAUACUUUUUAAAUUA
RNA transcript from Prosopis cineraria, 1590 nucleotides. RefSeq lists it as uncharacterized. The transcript is spliced from 8 exons. The record is from RefSeq and is a predicted model, not a curated record. Lineage: Eukaryota; Viridiplantae; Streptophyta; Magnoliopsida; Fabales; Fabaceae.